AACUUGUUUAUAAUUGUGAUAUAGAGUUAAGGAAACCUAUUGAUUGAUAGCUUGCCUUCCUAGAUUUAAUUUUAAUCAUAUAAAGUCAAAUGCUUAUUGCCCAUGAGUCUUAUUUUUCUUAUUAAUUGAAGCUUUAGUUAUUUGCCUCUAUUUGUUACUUGUUUCAUAUCACCUCACUUAGGGGUGUCAAAAUGGGUCAAUUGAAUCAACCCAACCCAU
This 219-nucleotide long non-coding RNA is filed under the name Brassica napus (rape). RNAcentral's name for it is "long non-coding RNA (BNAP_LNC023988)". Lineage: Eukaryota; Viridiplantae; Streptophyta; Magnoliopsida; Brassicales; Brassicaceae. The record is from RNAcentral.